RNAcentral lists this ribosomal RNA (206 nucleotides) under uncultured bacterium. RNAcentral describes it as "partial 16S ribosomal RNA". It matches the Rfam family "Bacterial small subunit ribosomal RNA", at positions 568 to 774 of the family's 1533-position model. The record is from RNAcentral.
CGUCUAGGCGGCCUUUUAAGUCUGAUGUGAAAAUGCGGGGCUCAACUCCGUAUUGCGUUGGAAACUGGAAGGCUAGAGUAUCAGAGAGGUGGGCGGAACUACAAGUGUAGAGGUGAAGUUCGUAGAUAUUUGUAGGAAUGCCGAUUGGGAAGCCAGCUCACUGGAUGAAUACUGACGCUGAAGCGCGAAAGCGUGGGGAGCAAACG